CAAUAGCGUAUAUUAAAGUUGUUGCGGUUAAAAAGCUCGUAGUUGGAUUUCUGCUGAGAACGACCGGUCCGCCCUUUGGGUGUGUAUCUGGCUCUUUCUUGGCAUCUUCUUGGUGAACGUUGCUGCACUUGACUGUGUGGAGCGCUACCCAGGACUUUUACUUUGAGGAAAUUAGAGUGUUUCAAGCAGGCAUACGCCUUGAAUACAUUAGCAUGGAAUAAUAAGAUAGGACCUCGGUUCUAUUUUGUUGGUUUCUAGAGCUGAGGUAAUGAUUAAUAGGGAUAGUUGGGGGCAUUCGUAUUUAACUGUCAGAGGUGAAAUUCUUGGAUUUGUUAAAGACGGACUACUGCGAANGNAUUUGCNAAGGAUGUCUNCAUUG
RNAcentral lists this ribosomal RNA (379 nucleotides) under uncultured eukaryote. RNAcentral's name for it is "partial 18S ribosomal RNA". It matches the Rfam family "Eukaryotic small subunit ribosomal RNA", at positions 592 to 975 of the family's 1831-position model. The record is from RNAcentral.